AGAUUGAACGCUGGCGGCAUGCCUUACACAUGCAAGUCGAACGGUAACGCGGGGCAACCUGGCGACGAGUGGCGAACGGGUGAGUAAUAUAUCGGAACGUGCCCAGGAGUGGGGGAUAGCCCGGCGAAAGCCGGAUUAAUACCGCAUACGACUUACGGGUGAAAGCGGGGGAUCGCAAGACCUCGCGCUGUUGGAGCGGCCGAUAUCAGAUUAGGUAGUUGGUGGGUAAGGCCUACCAAGCCGACGAUCUGUAGCUGGUCUGAGAGGACGACCAGCCACACUGGGACUGAGACACGGCCCAGACUCCUACGGGAGGCAGCAGUGGGGAAUUUUGGACAAGUGGGCGCAAGCCUGAUCCAGCCAUGCCGCGUGCGGG
Molecule: ribosomal RNA, 376 nt
Filed under: uncultured soil bacterium
Lineage: Bacteria
Description: bacterial SSU rRNA
Rfam family: Bacterial small subunit ribosomal RNA
Source: RNAcentral